AGUGAACGCUGGCGGUGGGCCUAGCACAUGCAAGUCGAACGGCAGCACAGUAAGAACUUGCUCUUACGGGUGGCGAGUGGCGGACGGGUGAGGAAUACAUCGGAAUCUACUUUUUCGUGGGGGAUAACGUAGGGAAACUUACGCUAAUACCGCAUACGACCUACGGGUGAAAGCAGGGGAUCUUCGGACCUUGCGCGAUUGAAUGAGCCGAUGUCGGAUUAGCUAGUUGGCGGGGUAAAGGCCCACCAAGGCGACGAUCCGUAGCUGGUCUGAGAGGAUGAUCAGCCACACUGGAACUGAGACACGGUCCAGACUCCUACGGGAGGCAGCAGUGGGGAAUAUUGGACAAUGGGCGCAAGCCUGAUCCAGCCAUACCGCGUGGGUGAAGAAGGCCUUCGGGUUGUAAAGCCCUUUUGUUGGGAAAGAAAAGCAGCAGGUUAAUACCCCGCUGUUCUGACGGUACCCAAAGAAUAAGCACCGGCUAACUUCGUG
This 492-nucleotide ribosomal RNA is filed under the name uncultured bacterium. RNAcentral's name for it is "partial 16S ribosomal RNA". It matches the Rfam family "Bacterial small subunit ribosomal RNA", at positions 29 to 507 of the family's 1533-position model. The record is from RNAcentral.